Molecule: unclassified non-coding RNA, 348 nt
Filed under: soil metagenome
Description: partial contains 5.8S ribosomal RNA, internal transcribed spacer 2, and large subunit ribosomal RNA
Rfam family: 5.8S ribosomal RNA (bases 1-120)
Source: RNAcentral
GAUGAAGAACGUAGCGAAAUGCGAUAAGUAAUGUGAAUUGCAGAAUUCAGUGAAUCAUCGAAUCUUUGAACGCACAUUGCGCCCGCCAGUAUUCUGGCGGGCAUGCCUGUCUGAGCGUCAUUUCAACCCUCAUGCCCCUAGGGCGUGGUGUUGGGGAUCGGCCAAAGCCCGCGAGGGACGGCCGGCCCCUAAAUCUAGAGGCGGACCCGUCGUGGCCUCCUCUGCGAAGUAGUGAUAUUCCGCAUCGGAGAGCGACGAGCCCCUGCCGUUAAACCCCCAACUUUCCAAGGUUGACCUCAGAUCAGGUAGGAAUACCCGCUGAACUUAAGCAUAUCAAUAAGCGGAGGA